Molecule: transfer RNA, 67 nt
Filed under: Leiodidae sp. BMNH 1274323
Lineage: Eukaryota; Metazoa; Arthropoda; Insecta; Coleoptera; Leiodidae
Description: tRNA-Ser
Source: RNAcentral
AACUAAUGAACUUGAAUAAGUAUAUAUUUUGAAAAUAUAAAAUAAAAGAAAACUCUUUUAUUAGUUU